CCGGAUUAGAUACCCUGGUAGUCCACGCCGUAAACGAUGAGUGCUAAGUGUUAGAGGGUUUCCGCCCUUUAGUGCUGCAGCUAACGCAUUAAGCACUCCGCCUGGGGAGUACGGUCGCAAGACUGAAACUCAAAGGAAUUGACGGGGGCCCGCACAAGCGGUGGAGCAUGUGGUUUAAUUCGAAGCAACGCGAAGAACCUUACCAGGUCUUGACAUCCUCUGACAACUCUAGAGAUAGAGCGUUCCCCUUCGGGGGACAGAGUGACAGGUGGUGCAUGGUUGUCGUCAGCUCGUGUCGUGAGAUGUUGGGUUAAGUCCCGCAACGAGCGCAACCCUUGAUCUUAGUUGCCAGCAUUUAGUUGGGCACUCUAAGGUGACUGCCGGUGACAAACCGGAGGAAGGUGGGGAUGACGUCAAAUCAUCAUGCCCCUUAUGACCUGGGCUACACACGUGCUACAAUGGAUGGUACAAAGGGCUGCAAGACCGCGAGGUCAAGCCAAUCCCAUAAAACCAUUCUCAGUUCGGAUUGUAGGCUGCAACUCGCCUACAUGAAGCUGGAAUCGCUAGUAAUCGCGGAUCAGCAUGCCGCGGUGAAUACGU
RNAcentral lists this ribosomal RNA (600 nucleotides) under uncultured bacterium. Its description in RNAcentral is "bacterial SSU rRNA". It matches the Rfam family "Bacterial small subunit ribosomal RNA", at positions 773 to 1371 of the family's 1533-position model. The record is from RNAcentral.